Molecule: ribosomal RNA, 260 nt
Filed under: uncultured bacterium
Lineage: Bacteria
Description: partial 16S ribosomal RNA
Rfam family: Bacterial small subunit ribosomal RNA
Source: RNAcentral
UGGCGGACGGGUGAGUAACGCGUGGAAAACCUGCCGUAUACUGGGGGAUAACGACUUAGAAAUAGGUGCUAAUACCGCAUAAGCGCACAGCUUCGCAUGAAGCGGUGUGAAAAACUCUGGUGGUAUACGAUGGUUCCGCGUCUGAUUAGCUAGUUGGUGGGGUAAUGGCCUACCAAGGCAACGAUCAGUAGCCGGCCUGAGAGGGUGAACCGGCCACAUUGGGACUGAGACACGGCCCAAACUCCUACGGAAGGCAGCAG